GAUGAAGAACGUAGCGAAAUGCGAUAAGUAAUGUGAAUUGCAGAGUUCAGUGAAUCAUCGAAUCUUUGAACGCACAUUGCGCCCGUUAGUAUUCUGACGGACAUGCCUGUCCGAGCGUCAUUUCAACCCUCAAGCACGGCUUGGUGUUGGCGGAUUGCGUGCCCUAGCGGCGCUGCACCCGCCCAAAUACAGUGGCGGUCCCGCUGCGGCUCCCUUUGCGUAGUAACUCACCUCGCACUGGACCGGGCGGCGGCUCGCCGUAAAACCCCAACUCACGAAAUGUUGACCUCGGAUCAGGUAGGAAUACCCGCUGAACUUAAGCAUAUCAAUAAGCGGAGGA
This 340-nucleotide unclassified non-coding RNA is filed under the name soil metagenome. RNAcentral describes it as "partial contains 5.8S ribosomal RNA, internal transcribed spacer 2, and large subunit ribosomal RNA". The stretch from base 1 to 120 matches the Rfam family "5.8S ribosomal RNA", at positions 35 to 154 of the family's 154-position model. The record is from RNAcentral.